This 270-nucleotide ribosomal RNA is filed under the name uncultured eukaryote. RNAcentral describes it as "partial small subunit ribosomal RNA". It matches the Rfam family "Eukaryotic small subunit ribosomal RNA", at positions 1161 to 1452 of the family's 1831-position model. The record is from RNAcentral.
AGGGCACCACCAGGAGUGGAGCCUGCGGCUUAAUUUGACUCAACACGGGGAAACUCACCAGGUCCAGACAAUAUAAGGAUUGACAGAUUGAUAGCUCUUUCUUGAUUUAUUGGGUGGUGGUGCAUGGCCGUUCUUAGUUGGUGGAGUGAUUUGUCUGGUUAAUUCCGAUAACGAACGAGACCUUAACCUGCUAAAUAGCCCGGCUGGCUUUGGCUGGUCGCUGGCUUCUUAGAGGGACUAUCUGUGUUUAGCAGAUGGAAGUUUGAGGCA